This 276-nucleotide unclassified non-coding RNA is filed under the name Hevea brasiliensis (rubber tree). Lineage: Eukaryota; Viridiplantae; Streptophyta; Magnoliopsida; Malpighiales; Euphorbiaceae. The record is from RNAcentral.
AAGAAUAGUUUUAUAUCUCUAACAAUUGCAAUGAUACUUCUUCCUUGAUUGCUAUGUCUUGAUAUUGAUACCUGCUUGCUAUACUGCAAACACAUUUGUUCAACAAGCUGAAUCAAGUUUCCUCUUAUUUUUGCUUUUGUUUUUGUUAUCCUUGCUUUGCUGACUCCAUUUUUGCAUGCAAAGAAAUGGGGAAUGAAGAGCAUGGAUGAAAUUGUACAGAGAGUUGGGUUUAUGUUGUAGCAAGUCAUAACUUGUUAGAAUAGGAAUGUAUAGAUU